CUGGUUAUCAGCACUGUACUGCCGUGUCAUUCAGGUAUUCAGGCAGAUGGACAGAUGAGGUCUGUGUAUCCAGCAUGCCUUUCUUCUGCUACAACAGAACCUGCACACAAUCUUCAUGUGACCGUUAGUAUCACUUUGUGUCUGAGUCCAAGACCUGGUCUGAAGCUCAGAGAUACUGCAGAGAGAAUUAUACUGAUCUGGCAACCACUGAUAACAUGGAAGAAAUGAACAGGCUCAUUAAAACAGUACGUGCAACUUAUUAUGGCUCAGCUUGGAUUGGUCUUUAUGAUGAUCUAAACAGCUGGAGAUGGUCUCUGAAUAAUGCCAUAUUAGAGGGAGGAUUUAAAAGCUGGUAUGUCCAGCAACCAAUAAACUCAGGUGGACAGAGUCUAUGCGUUUAUAUGUCAUAUUCGGAGGGAUUAUGGAGAGAUAGUUUUUGCUCCAUAAAACGUCAUUUUGUUUGCUAUGAUGGAAGAGCAAAUGCUAAUACACGUUAUGUGUUGGUUGACCAGAUAAAAACCUGGAAUGAGGCUCAGAGUUACUGCAGAGAGCAUUACACAGACCUCGUCAGUAUCAGAAACAGGUUUGAAAACUACAGGGUUCGAGCAUUAUUUUCAUAUUUUUACACUCUUUGGAUUGGACUGUACAGAACAAGAUCUUGGUCUGAUCAGAGCAACUCCUCAUUCAGCAACUGGAAGACAGAACAGCCGGAUAAUGCUGGAAACAGUGAAUACUGCACUGCAGUCUCAUUUAGUGACUCCGGGAAAUGGACAGAUGAAAAGUGCAGCACUAUAUUGCCUUUUGUUUGCUACAGAGCCUUAGCAUCAUCACGCCAGUAUUACUUCGUGUCUACGUCUAAGACCUGGACUGAAGCUCAGAGAUACUGCAGACAGAAUUACACUGAUCUGGCAACCAUUGAUAACAUGGAAGAAAUUAACAGUCUGAUAAACACAGUUAAUGGGAGUUACAGCGGCUUAGCUUGGAUUGGACUUUAUGAUGAUCUGAACAGCUGGAGAUGGUCAUUGGAAGACGAUGAUUUCUAUCAGGAAGAAGAGAGAGAUUUCAGAAACUGGUAUCAUGAACCAAACAAUCUAGGGGGGAGCGACCUGUGUGUUUACAUGAAUUUUAUUGAAAACUGGAUUGAUUACCCAUGUGACAGUUUAUUAAGUUUUGUUUACUAUGAUGGUAAGAUAUUCCAAUUGAAAAAAUAUAUAUACUGUAUAUACAGGUCCUUUUCAAAUAAUUAUCAUAUUGUGAUAAAGUUCAUUAUUUUCUGUAAUGUACUGAUAAAACAUUAGACUUUCAUAUAUUUUAGAUUCAUUACACACAACUGAAGUAGUUUCAAGCCUUUUAUUGUUUUAAUAUUGAUGAUUUGGGCAUACAGCUCAUGAAAACCCAAAAUUCCUAUCUCAAAAAAUUAGCAUAUUUCAUCCGACCAAUAAAAGAAAAAGUGUUUUUAAUACAAAAAAAGUCAACCUUCAAAUAAUUAUGUUCAGUUAUGCACUCAAUACUUGGUCGGGAAUCCUUUUGCAGAAAUGACUGCUUCAAUGCGCCGUGGCAUGGAGGCAAUCAGCCUGUGGCACUGCUGAGGUGUUAUGGAGGCCCAGGAUGCUUCGAUAGCGGCCUUAAGCUCAUCCAGAGUGUUGGGUCUUGCGUCUCUCAACUUUCUCUUCACAAUAUCCCACAGAUUCUCUAUGGGGUUCAGGUCAGGAGAGUUGGCAGGCCAAUUGAGCACAGUAAUACCAUGGUCAGUAAACCAUUUACCAGUGGUUUUGGCACUGUGAGCAGGUGCCAGGUCGUGCUGAAAAAUGAAAUCUUCAUCUCCAUAAAGCUUUUCAGCAGAUGGAAGCAUGAAGUGCUCCAAAAUCUCCUGAUAGCUAGCUGCAUUGACCGCAGCUGACAUGGCACCCCAGACCAUCACUGACUGUGGGUACUUGACACUGGACUUCAGGCAUUUUGGCAUUUCCCUCUCCCCAGUCUUCCUCCAGACUCUGGCACCUUGAUUUCCGAAUGACAUGCAAAAUUUGCUUUCAUCCGAAAAAUGUACUUUGGACCACUGAGCAACAGUCCAGUGCUGCUUCUCUGUAGCCCAGCCCAUGCAACCAUUUUGCAAUAUGCAUAUGCAAUAUGUGCACGAUAUGGAUGCAAGAUAUGGAUGGCCAGACAAAGGAAAAAUCAUUUGACUGAAUAAAAUUAUGAUUUAUCUUAGAAAUGGCCUCUCAGAAAUAUGUUUUGCUAAAUGAGAGAAGGACCUGGACUGGAGCUCAGAGCUACUGCAGAGAGAAGUACACUGACCUGGUCAGUGUGAGAAAUGAAGCAGAGCGUCAAUGGAUAGUGAGCCUUUCACGCAUUGAUGUAUGGAUUGGUCUGCACAGAAACAGACUGUGGUCAGAUCAGAGCAGCUCUUCAUUCACAUACUGGCUACCAUUAACACAAAGUGAUGUUGCACAACCAGAUAAUGGUUUAAAUAUCAAAGGACAGACGGGAGUUCAAAGCUGCACAGCUGUGUCUUUACAGCAUUUCGGCCAGUGGACAGAUGAGCGAUGUCUUGCCAGUUUGCCAUUCUUUUGUUAUAAUGAUCCAUCAAGUCAACCCAAUCAUUCAACCCAACCCCAACCCAACCAGGAGUAUGUGAUGGGAAUGAGAGUGAAAGUUACAAGUGCAGACAAUCUGUCAGAGUCUCAGAUUGUGGAGCUAAUUACACCAUUACAAGAGGAGCUGAUCAGACUUGGACUUCCCAGCAAUGUCAGCAUGCAUCUGAGAGGUUAUCGUAAAAUCAAUCCCUGAGAGAUGGAGACAGCGCUUUGCAUUUUCCAGAACAAGUUUAGGCCUUGACACUUAAUUGAGCAUAAAAUUAUACUGUAGUCUCUGGUUAUGAGUUAUGAAUCACCUCUAAUCUAAUUAUAAAUGAUCCAGUUUUAUGUCUAUUUACCUUUGAAAUCAGUGAAGGGUUUUUAUCAAUACUUAUUUUUUUAAUGUUGUCAGAAUGAUGGAAAAUUAUACUUUACUGAUGAUUGACUGAUGAUGACUUUACUUUAAUGAUACUGUAGUGUCAUAGAGCUGUAUAGAGACUGAACAAUAAAUGUCUUUACCCCGCUAGAAAUUUGACGUUCCCAGAACGUCCUCAGAACGUCCCCAUUGGUGUCAACGACGUCCCCAUAACGUUCUGAGAUGGUCACAAUGUGGAGUUCUUUAAAGGUUUGGGGAACGUUAUUUGGAGGACCUUCACAGAACAUUCAGGACAUUCUUGGGAUGUUUAGAGGACCAUAUUUUACUUGGAAAUGUGAUGUUCCCCAAACCUUGUCAGAACGUCCACGCUGGUGUCAAGGACGUCACCUAGUAACGUUCCCAGGACGUUCCAAGACGGUCAUGAUGUGGAGUUCUUUAAAGGGUUAGGGGACAUUAUUUAGAGGACAUUCACAGAACAUUCAGGAAGUUAAUGGUUCGGAUCUAUAUUUUAUAACUUGAGCCAAUGAAAAAGUUUUAUUAAACCUGGCAUGAAAGUAUUUUUUUCUUGUUGAAGAAAGU
Molecule: RNA transcript, 3528 nt
Organism: Labeo rohita (rohu)
Lineage: Eukaryota; Metazoa; Chordata; Actinopteri; Cypriniformes; Cyprinidae
Gene name: C-type mannose receptor 2
Exons: 7
Source: RefSeq, a predicted model, not a curated record